AUGCUUACCGACGCCAACUAUGGCGUGUGGGCGGUGAAGAUGAAGAUCAUUCUCCGAACCCUUCGAGUGUGGGAGGCCAUCACGGACGACGACGUCGACCAGGAGUGCGACGAAGGUGCCAUGGCUGCCAUAGCCCAGUCUGUGCCGGAUUCCGUGCUGAUAACAUUGGCGGAGUUCAAGACAGCAAGAGAGGCGUGGAACGCACUCAAAGAGAUGAGGAUUGGAGAAGAUCGCGUCACGAAGGCUCGGGCGCAAGUGCUGAAGCGCCAAUUUCACAAGUUGCGGAUGGAGGAAACUGACUUGGUGAACAACUAUGCCAUGCGUCUGACUACUUUGGUGGGAGAGUUCCGCGCGCUUGGUGCAAAGCUCGAGGAGGCCGAGAUUGUGGAGAAGUUUUUCAGUUCGGUGACUGAUAAAUUCACGUACAUCAUCGGGACGCUCGAGCAGCUUUACGACAUCGAUGACAUGACCAUAACGGAGGCGAUCGGACGCUUGCGGACAUGGGAAGAGAAUGCUUGUGGUUGUCGAAAAGGCAAUGGAGGAGGUAGUGACCAACUUAUGUACUCACGCGCAGAUAGGGAGUCCCCAAGUAGCAAAGGAAGGCGCAACAUUGGCGAAGGCUCAAGCAACGCGAAGCGCGGCGGACAAACCGAAGAAGGCAAAGGAAAAGGCAAGCCACAAGGUCGUGGUAAGGCAAAACCGGUCUAA
Molecule: ribosomal RNA, 708 nt
Filed under: Triticum aestivum (bread wheat)
Lineage: Eukaryota; Viridiplantae; Streptophyta; Magnoliopsida; Poales; Poaceae
Description: partial small subunit ribosomal RNA
Source: RNAcentral